AUUGGAUGCAAUGAGGGCAUCUUCGUAAUAGUUCUUUAAAUCUUUCCCACGCCUCAUACAAGGGCUCGUUAUCCAUCUGUUGGAAAGUAGUGAUCUCGUUCCUCAACUU
Gossypium raimondii (Peruvian cotton) is the source of this 109-nucleotide small nucleolar RNA. It matches the Rfam family "Plant small nucleolar RNA R71". Rfam says of the family: R71 is a member of the C/D box family of snoRNAs containing the C (UGAUGA) and D (CUGA) box motifs. Multiple nearly identical copies of this snoRNA have been identified in Arabidopsis, and it is thought to function as a 2'-O-ribose methylation guide for 18S ribosomal RNA. The record is from Rfam. NCBI's taxonomy places the organism in Eukaryota, Viridiplantae, Streptophyta, Magnoliopsida, Malvales, Malvaceae.